ACUGGGGUGAUUAGUGGCGAACGGGUGAGUAACACGUGAGUAACCUGCCCUUAACUCUGGGAUAAGCCUGGGAAACUGGGUCUAAUACCGGAUAUGACUCCUCAUCGCAUGGUGGGGGGUGGAAAGCUUUUUGUGGUUUUGGAUGGACUCGCGGCCUAUCAGCUUGUUGGUGAGGUAAUGGCUCACCAAGGCGACGACGGGUAGCCGGCCUGAGAGGGUGACCGGCCACACUGGGACUGAGACACGGCCCAGACUCCUACGGGAGGCAGCAGUGGGGAAUAUUGCACAAUGGGCGAAAGCCUGAUGCAGCGACGCCGCGUGAGGGAUGACGGCCUUCGGGUUGUAAACCUCUUUCAGUAGGGAAGAAGCGAAAGUGACGGUACCUGCAGAAGAAGCGCCGGCUAACUACGUGCCAGCAGCCGCGGUAAUACGUAGGGCGCAAGCGUUAUCCUGGAAUUAUUGGGCGUAAAGAGCUCGUAGGCGGUUUGUCGCGUCUGCCGUGAAAGUCCGGGGCUCAACUCCGGAUCUGCGGUGGGUACGGGCAGACUAGAGUGA
Molecule: ribosomal RNA, 555 nt
Filed under: Arthrobacter sp. R1_5
Lineage: Bacteria; Bacillati; Actinomycetota; Actinomycetes; Micrococcales; Micrococcaceae
Description: bacterial SSU rRNA
Rfam family: Bacterial small subunit ribosomal RNA
Source: RNAcentral